RNAcentral lists this long non-coding RNA (799 nucleotides) under Equus caballus (horse). Its description in RNAcentral is "lncRNA (ENSECAG00000046873.1)". The record is from RNAcentral. Lineage: Eukaryota; Metazoa; Chordata; Mammalia; Perissodactyla; Equidae.
AAUUUUGUGUGUGUGUGAUGGAGUCAGGGUUUUGGAACUGUGACCUCUCUUUUUGUGUUUCAGAACUGGUCUCUCCUACUGUGGGUUUUUUUUAAAGAUUGGCACCUGAGCUAACAUCUGUUGCCAAUCUUUUUUUUUUUCCUUCUUCUUCUUCUCCCCAAAGCUCCCCCAGCACAUGGUUGUGUAUUCUAGUUGUGAGUGCCUAUGGUUGUGCUGUGUGGGACGUGCCUCAGCAUGGCUUGAUGAGGGUGCCAUGUCCGCGCACAGGAUCCGAACCAGCGAAACCCUGGGCUGCUGAAGUGGAGCGCGCGAACUUAACUGCUCGGCCACGGGGCUGGCCCCUGUGGCUUUUUCUUUUUACAAAGGUAUUCUUUUACAUUCAGACGUGGAGCACGAACUCUACCAGGCAGGAGCCAUUGGUAGAGAUGAUACGAGAACAAAGGCCCUCGAGAUCUAAUCACUCUCGAAUGCCAAGCUUCUGGCUGCUAGUGCUCUGCUGGAGUCCUUGUCCUUAUCCUCCGGAGCAAAUCAUCUAAUGGGAUCCCACCGGCCCCAAGGCUUUGUUGAAUGGAACCGUGAGUGAGAAUGUAAACUCUCGAGCCCAAGGCUUUCCACGGAAUUCCCUUUGGACUGGUUCAUUCUUUUUGCUCAACAUGAGAAAACAGCAGGAGUUAUUGGUUGGACUGCGUGAUGAGCCAGAUUGUCUGGGGGCAAGGCAGGCUGGGUAGGGGAGAGGAAACAACCCUAUGGACUGUGAUAAAGGAAUGUAUGAAGUUUUAUAAAAACAUAGAUAAAUAAU